Molecule: ribosomal RNA, 316 nt
Filed under: uncultured eukaryote
Lineage: Eukaryota
Description: partial 18S ribosomal RNA
Rfam family: Eukaryotic small subunit ribosomal RNA
Source: RNAcentral
CCCUUAGAUGUUCUGGGCCGCACGCGUGCUACACUGACCGGCGCAACAAGUUUCUUUCCUUGGCUCGAUAGGCCUGGGUAAUCUUUGAACGCCGGUCGUGAUGGGGAUAGAUCCUUGCAAUUUUUGGUCUUCAACGAGGAAUUCCUAGUAAACGCAAGUCAUCAACUUGCAUUGAUUACGUCCCUGCCCUUUGUACACACCGCCCGUCGCACCUACCGAUUGAAUGGUCCGGUGAAGCCUCCGGAUUGGCGCGCACCUCGGUGCCGCCGAGAAGUUGGCUAAACCUUACCAUUUAGAGGAAGGUGAAGUCGUANCA